RNAcentral lists this ribosomal RNA (944 nucleotides) under Salmonella enterica. RNAcentral describes it as "partial 23S ribosomal RNA". It matches the Rfam family "Bacterial large subunit ribosomal RNA", at positions 1213 to 2141 of the family's 2925-position model. Lineage: Bacteria; Pseudomonadati; Pseudomonadota; Gammaproteobacteria; Enterobacterales; Enterobacteriaceae. The record is from RNAcentral. RNAcentral also lists the same sequence under 1 other name.
CUUAUGCGUUGUUGGGUAGGGGAGCGUUCUGUAAGCCUGUGAAGGUGGCCUGUGAGGGUUGCUGGAGGUAUCAGAAGUGCGAAUGCUGACAUAAGUAACGAUAAAGCGGGUGAAAAGCCCGCUCGCCGGAAGACCAAGGGUUCCUGUCCAACGUUAAUCGGGGCAGGGUGAGUCGACCCCUAAGGCGAGGCCGAAAGGCGUAGUCGAUGGGAAACGGGUUAAUAUUCCCGUACUUGGUGUUACUGCGAAGGGGGGACGGAGAAGGCUAUGUUGGCCGGGCGACGGUUGUCCCGGUUUAAGCGUGUAGGCUGGUUUUCCAGGCAAAUCCGGAAAAUCAAGGCUGAGGCGUGACGACGAGGCACUACGGUGCUGAAGCAACAAAUGCCCUGCUUCCAGGAAAAGCCUCUAAGCAUCAGGUAACAUCAAAUCGUACCCCAAACCGACACAGGUGGUCAGGUAGAGAAUACCAAGGCGCUUGAGAGAACUCGGGUGAAGGAACUAGGCAAAAUGGUGCCGUAACUUCGGGAGAAGGCACGCUGACACGUAGGUGAAGUGAUUUACUCAUGGAGCUGAAGUCAGUCGAAGAUACCAGCUGGCUGCAACUGUUUAUUAAAAACACAGCACUGUGCAAACACGAAAGUGGACGUAUACGGUGUGACGCCUGCCCGGUGCCGGAAGGUUAAUUGAUGGGGUCAGCGCAAGCGAAGCUCCUGAUCGAAGCCCCGGUAAACGGCGGCCGUAACUAUAACGGUCCUAAGGUAGCGAAAUUCCUUGUCGGGUAAGUUCCGACCUGCACGAAUGGCGUAAUGAUGGCCAGGCUGUCUCCACCCGAGACUCAGUGAAAUUGAACUCGCUGUGAAGAUGCAGUGUACCCGCGGCAAGACGGAAAGACCCCGUGAACCUUUACUAUAGCUUGACACUGAACAUUGAGCCUUGAUGUGUAG